GGCAGUUCUCAGGUGACGCACCCCAGAAUUGGGCUCCCUCCUCUCUGGUUCCAGGUGUGUCACCUGAGAACCGCC
This is a non-coding RNA of Myotis davidii, 75 nucleotides long. Lineage: Eukaryota; Metazoa; Chordata; Mammalia; Chiroptera; Vespertilionidae. The record is from Rfam.